This 440-nucleotide ribosomal RNA is filed under the name uncultured bacterium. RNAcentral describes it as "partial 16S ribosomal RNA". It matches the Rfam family "Bacterial small subunit ribosomal RNA", at positions 338 to 795 of the family's 1533-position model. The record is from RNAcentral.
CCUACGGGAGGCAGCAGUGGGGAAUAUUGCACAAUGGGGGAAACCCUGAUGCAGCGACGCCGCGUGAAGGAUGAAGUAUUUCGGUAUGUAAACUUCUAUCAGCAGGGAAGAAAAUGACGGUACCUGACUAAGAAGCCCCGGCUAACUACGUGCCAGCAGCCGCGGUAAUACGUAGGGGGCAAGCGUUAUCCGGAUUUACUGGGUGUAAAGGGAGCGUAGACGGUAUGGCAAGUCUGAUGUGAAAACCCGGGGCUCAACCCCGGGACUGCAUUGGAAACUGUCGGACUAGAGUGUCGGAGAGGCAAGUGGAAUUCCGUGUGUAGCGGUGAAAUGCGUAGAUAUACGGAGGAACACCAGUGGCGAAGGCGGCCUGCUGGACAUUAACUGACGCUGAGGCGCGAAAGCGUGGGGAGCAAACAGGAUUAGAUACCCGAGUAGUC